This 464-nucleotide ribosomal RNA is filed under the name uncultured bacterium. Its description in RNAcentral is "bacterial SSU rRNA". It matches the Rfam family "Bacterial small subunit ribosomal RNA", at positions 331 to 792 of the family's 1533-position model. The record is from RNAcentral.
CCAGACUCCUACGGGAGGCAGCAGUGAGGAAUAUUGGUCAAUGGGCGCGAGCCUGAACCAGCCAAGUAGCGUGAAGGAUGACUGCCCUACGGGUUGUAAACUUCUUUUAUAAAGGAAUAAAGUGAGGCACGUGUGCCUUUUUGUAUGUACUUUAUGAAUAAGGAUCGGCUAACUCCGUGCCAGCAGCCGCGGUAAUACGGAGGAUCCGAGCGUUAUCCGGAUUUAUUGGGUUUAAAGGGAGCGUAGGUGGAUUGUUAAGUCAGUUGUGAAAGUUUGCGGCUCAACCGUAAAAUUGCAGUUGAAACUGGCAGUCUUGAGUACAGUAGAGGUGGGCGGAAUUCGUGGUGUAGCGGUGAAAUGCUUAGAUAUCACGAAGAACUCCGAUUGCGAAGGCAGCUCACUGGACUGCAACUGACACUGAGGCUCGAAAGUGUGGGUAUCAAACAGGAUUAGAUACCCGAGUA